UGAGAAUCUGCUUGAACGGUACCACAAAACAACCAUUCACUCGACGUCAGCAAAACCAGAGAGCUGAUUAUAGCCUACAGGAGGAAGAAACUGGAGGUUCAUGAGCCAGUCCUCUUCAAUGGAUCGGAGGUGGAGAGGAUUCCUUCAAGGUAGGAAGAUUACCGCAGUCUUUUCACGAAGCUUCCAUUUCGCUCAUUCUCAAAAAGAAUAAGAAUCCUACUGAAUACUCUUCGUAUAGACCUAUCUAUUUACUCAAUUUUGAUACUAAAAUUUUAUCUAAAGUGUUGGCUCACAGACUUGAAAAUAUUAUAGCUUCUAUAGUUUCGGAUGAUCAGACAGGAUUUAUUAAAAAUUGAUAUUCCCAUUUUAAUAUAUGGUGUUUGUUAAAUGUUAUGCAUUCUCCAUCUAAGGAAAUAUUGGAACGUGUGAUAUCUGUGGAUGCAGUGAAGGCCUUUGACAGAGUUGAAUGGAAUUAUCUUUUUACAUCCUUAGAAAAAUUUAAUUUUGGACUUAAUUUUAUUCAUUGGAUUAAAUUACUUUAUUUAUUUCCCUCUGCUUACUAAUCUUCAGAAUUUUAAACCCUUUAAACUCCAACGUGGAACUAGCCCUCUGCUUUUUGAUUUGGUAUUAGAACCCUUAGUAAUUGCUUUUCGAGAGUCUAAAGAGAUUACUGGUAUUUUAAGGAGAGGUACUAUCCAUAAAGUGUCGCUCUAUGCUGAUGACUUAGUGCUUUUUAUAUCUAAUGUUGCAAUCUCUUUACUAUUUGUUUUCCGUCUACUGACUAAUUUUAGUCAGUUCUCAGGAUAUAAAUUAAAUUUACAUAAGAGUGAACUGUUUCCUUUAAAUAACUUAAUACCAACUGAUAUUAACCUUCCUUUUAAAAUUUUAAGAAAACAAUUUACAUAUUUAGGAGUAACAAUUACUAAAAAUUAUAAAGAUUUAUUCAAGGAAAAUUUUUUAACUUUAAUGAAUUACGUUAAAAAACAUUUUCUAAUUGGUGGCCUCUUCAUCACUGAUCCCGAAUUAAUUCUACUAAAAUGAAUAUCUUACCUAAAUUUAUAUACCUUUUUCAAGCUGUGCCUGUUUUUAUUCCUAAAUUUUUUUUGACUCUUUGGAUUCAAUUCUUUCUUCCCAUAUAUGGAAGAAUAAAAAACCUCGAAUAAAUAAAGCUCAUCUUCAAAAAGCCAAAUAGAACGGAGGCUUUGCCUUAUCCAAAAUUAGAUUAUAUUAUUGGGUAGUUAAUAUACAAAAUAUUAAAUUCUGGAUAUUACAUUAACCAUGAGAAAUGCCCUAUAUGGGUUCCUUUGGAAGUCAACUCUAUUACAAAAUUUUCCAUUAUUACUUUACUUGGAUCCUUGCUUCCUUUAUCUUAAAAUAAACUAACUGACAAUGUGGUGGUCAAACAUGCUUUAAGGAUUUGGUUACAAUUUAGAAAACAUUUUGGUUUAUGGAGAUUCUCCCUCUCGGGUCCCAUGUUUUCUAAUUGUUUUUUAAACCAUCUUUAAUUGAUCUACCUUUUAAAGAAUUGGAUAGAUUGGGUAUUAAAUGAUUUCAGGAUUUGUUUGAUGGAGGGAAUCUCUCCUCUUUAGUGCAACUUUAAACAAAAUUCUAAUUCUUUUUUUUCGAUACUUACAGAUUACAGAUUUUUUAAGAUCCCAACUACAUACAUUUCCUACAAGUCCAGAUAAGAAUUUAAUAGAUACAAUUUUUAAUCUGAAACCCUUAGACAACGGUUCAAUAUCUUACAUUUAUGGUCUGCUGUUGUGACUGAAAAAUGCCUCUUUAGAUAAAAUUAAAGGAGACUGGGAAAAGGAUUUACAGAUGUUCAUAUCUGAAGAGAGCUGGAAGAGUAUUUUAAAAUUGAUUUAUUCUUUAUCAUUAUAUGCUUGUCAUUCUUUAUUACAAUUCAAAGUGGUACAUAGAGUUCAUAUGUCUAAAGACAAGCUCUCUCGUUUCUUUGCCGAUAUUUCCCCCUACUGUGAUAGAUGCACUAAUGGAGUGGCCACACUAAUUCAUGUUUUGGACAUGUCCAAACCUUGAAAAAUUCUGGAAAGAUGUAUUUCAAACUUUUUCUGUACUUUUCAAUGUUACUUUUAAGCCCAAUCCCUUGACUGCCAUGUUUGGUAAUGUUGAGGAUGGUAUUACAAAACUGAAGCCAUUUAAUUUGCCGGUAUUGGCCUUUCUGUCUCUUAUGGCCAGGAGGGCGAUCUUGCUCAAGGGGAAGGAGGCUGCCUCACCCACUCAUGUUCAAUAACUAUCUGAAAUUAUGUUGUGCCUUGAUCUAGAGAAGAUUCGUUGUUCGAUUUCUGAUUCUAAACAUGAUUUUCUAAAGUUAUGGGGACCCUUUCUGAGUUAUUUUCAUAAUCUUUGAACUGUUAUUAAAGUAUGGAUCUGAGCCAUUAUUAUUAUAAUGUUAUAUGGUAUGGUAUUUUUUU
Molecule: long non-coding RNA, 2435 nt
Organism: Hypanus sabinus (Atlantic stingray)
Lineage: Eukaryota; Metazoa; Chordata; Chondrichthyes; Myliobatiformes; Dasyatidae
Exons: 2
Source: RefSeq, a predicted model, not a curated record